CCUACGGGGGGCAGCAGUGAGGAAUAUUGGUCAAUGGACGAGAGUCUGAACCAGCCAAGUAGCGUGAAGGAUGACUGCCCUAUGGGUUGUAAACUUCUUUUAUAUGGGAAUAAAACGUUCCACGUGUGGGAUUUUGUAUGUACCAUAUGAAUAAGGAUCGGCUAACUCCGUGCCAGCAGCCGCGGUAAUACGGAGGAUCCGAGCGUUAUCCGGAUUUAUUGGGUUUAAAGGGAGCGUAGGUGGAUUGUUAAGUCAGUUGUGAAAGUUUGCGGCUCAACCGUAGAAUUGCAGUUGAAACUGGCAGUCUUGAGUACAGUAGAGGUGGGCGGAAUUCGUGGUGUAGCGGUGAAAUGCUUAGAUAUCACGAAGAACUCCGAUUGCGAAGGCAGUUCACUGGACUGCAACUGACACUGAGGCUCGAAAGUGUGGGUAUCAAACAGGAUUAGAUACCCCUGUAGUC
Molecule: ribosomal RNA, 460 nt
Filed under: uncultured bacterium
Lineage: Bacteria
Description: partial 16S ribosomal RNA
Rfam family: Bacterial small subunit ribosomal RNA
Source: RNAcentral